CCUAUGGAAAAGUUUUAUCAAAAUGUAUUUACAUUAAAAAGCACUUUCAUUCUGUGUUUCUUAUGUAGGUGGAUGGUUUGUGAUUUUAUCUUCUUUUGACCAUCAUGAUGGUUGAGUGAAGGUGAGACAGAGUUGCUAUGCUGGAAACUGACUUUGGUAUGCGUCUCUUUUAUCUGGGGCACGGAGUGCUGAUCUGCGUCUGACCAGUAGUUACUAUGAGCUGUGUGUGGCCUGUGUGGUAAUUUCAACGGUAACGGUGGAGAUGAGCUGAGAGACCCUGCUGGAAACCUUCUGCCCAGUCUGUACCAGAGGGCAAAGAGCUGGAGAGCAGAAGACAGUAUCACCUCAGUGUGUCAUGAUGCAUACGAGACCGACUGCUCUGCUUGCCCUCCUGAUCAACGUGCCCUCUACGAAACAGACAUUUCUGUGGUGUCCUGACAUAUAUAGGCCAGAAUGUGUUUAGUGCAUGUCAUGCUAAAGUGUACCCACAGGUGUUCCAGCAAAGCUGUGUGUACGAUCUCUUCUUCAAUUACGGAGACCGAAAACUUCUCUGUCAGGCUCUGGAGACAUACGUCCAACAGUGUCUUCAAGAGGGUGUCGUUAUUACAGAUUGGAGAGAAAGAUUUAAUUGAUGUAUGUUUGUUUAAACUCUCAUAGAGCAUAUGUUUGUAUGCUUAACUUUAACCAUGGACCUCUUCUUGUUCUUUUACAGCUAUGAGUUGCCCACCCAACAGUCAUUAUGAGGCCUGUCCGUCUUCGUGUCCAGCAACGUGUCCAUACCCAAAUCAGCAGCCGAAUUGCACUGAUACCUGUGUGGAAGCCUAUUAUGCAUGUGAUAGAGCUGGAGGAGGGUUGGUGAAUUUUUCUGUGUACACACAGAAUGAGCAGGUUAGAAACACAAGGGUUUCGAACAUCAAGAAUUUGACUGUGACCAUCUACAACCUGAUAAUGAGCAUCAGACGAGGUGAACUCUCGAGAGUCGUCGUAAGUCUUCAUCUAGUUUGGCCUUGUUUUUGUUUUCUGUCUUCUUAUUUAGCCAGAAUGCACUGAAAUUGACAAAAAUGGACAGUAAAGUAUAAUGUCGUUGUGGAAGGUUUCCAUUACAGAUAAAUGCUGUGUUUCUU
Molecule: long non-coding RNA, 1124 nt
Filed under: Carassius auratus (goldfish)
Lineage: Eukaryota; Metazoa; Chordata; Actinopteri; Cypriniformes; Cyprinidae
Description: lncRNA (ENSCARG00000005270.1)
Source: RNAcentral